Cydia fagiglandana is the source of this 128-nucleotide long non-coding RNA. RefSeq lists it as uncharacterized. The transcript has 2 exons. The record is from RefSeq and is a predicted model, not a curated record. NCBI's taxonomy places the organism in Eukaryota, Metazoa, Arthropoda, Insecta, Lepidoptera, Tortricidae.
GAAGAAUUUCUGCAGAUAAUCUUCAGUAUUCAUCGUGAAUUCGUUUUGGAUAGGAUUUAACAAAGAUAAUCCGAAAUGUUUUCUAAGGUCUUGUGCUUCGCGGUUCUCGUAGCUGUGGCGGUGGCCCA